Molecule: ribosomal RNA, 481 nt
Filed under: uncultured bacterium
Lineage: Bacteria
Description: partial 16S ribosomal RNA
Rfam family: Bacterial small subunit ribosomal RNA
Source: RNAcentral
GAUGAACGCUGGCGGCGUGCCUAACACAUGCAAGUCGAACGGAGAUUACGGACGGAAGUUUUCGGAUGGAAGACUGUAAUUCUUAGUGGCGGACGGGUGAGUAACGCGUGGGCAACCUGCCCUAUACAGGGGGAUAGCAGCUGGAAACGGCUGGUAAGACCGCAUAAGUCGGCGAGACCGCAUGGUUUUGCCGGGAAAUGAGCAAUCAGGUAUAGGAUGGGCCCGCGUCCGAUUAGCCAGUUGGCAGGGUAAAAGCCUACCAAAGCAACGAUCGGUAGCCGGACUGAGAGGGCGGACGGCCACAUUGGGACUGAGACACGGCCCAAACUCCUACGGGAGGCAGCAGUGGGGGAUAUUGCACAAUGGAGGAAACUCUGAUGCAGCGACGCCGCGUGAGUGAAGAAGUAGUUCGGUAUGUAAAGCUCUAUCAGCAGGGAAGAUGAUGACGGUACCUGACUAAGAAGCCCCGGCUAACUACGUG